Non-coding RNA from Castor canadensis (American beaver), 366 nucleotides. The record is from RefSeq and is a predicted model, not a curated record. Lineage: Eukaryota; Metazoa; Chordata; Mammalia; Rodentia; Castoridae.
AGCGGAGGUACCUCGGUGGCUGCUGGCUUGGGCUUUGCGGAGCAUAGUCAGGUUGUUUAGAACUUUCCACCGCAAGACGCUACUAGUCGGGCUGCCGGAAAUAAAUGUUAGUAUGGAGAAUGAUUUCAACACUGAAUCAUCAUGUACCUUUACUCUUCAAAGUUCUUCAGAGACAAUGGUUUCUAUUCAGUUAUUAGAUUUCAAAAUAAGUUUCCUGGAAGCAUUAGAAGAAUUGCGUAUGAGAAGGCCUCUCGAGUAGCUGGAAUUGCAGGCGUGUACCUCUCCACCACCAAGAAGCAGAAACUCAAUAUGAAAAGCAGAUUGAUAAAAUUACUAUGGAGACACAAGAACUUAAAUGGCAAAAGG